Molecule: ribosomal RNA, 253 nt
Filed under: uncultured bacterium
Lineage: Bacteria
Description: partial 16S ribosomal RNA
Rfam family: Bacterial small subunit ribosomal RNA
Source: RNAcentral
UACGUAGGUGGCAAGCGUUGUCCGGAAUUACUGGGUGUAAAGGGAGCGCAGGCGGGAAGCCAAGUCAGCUGUGAAAACUACGGGCUUAACUUGUAGACUGCAGUUGAAACUGGUUUUCUUGAGUGAAGUAGAGGUUGGCGGAAUUCCGAGUGUAGCGGUGAAAUGCGUAGAUAUUCGGAGGAACACCGGUGGCGAAGGCGGCCAACUGGGCUUUAACUGACGCUGAGGCUCGAAGGUGUGGGGAGCAAACAGG